UUCCUACGGGAGGCAGCAGUGGGGAAUAUUGCACAAUGGGCGAAAGCCUGAUGCAGCGACGCCGCGUGAGGGAUGACGGCCUUCGGGUUGUAAACCUCUUUCGACAAGGAAGAAGCCUUCGGGUGACGGUACUUGUAGAAGAAGCGCCGGCUAACUACGUGCCAGCAGCCGCGGUAAUACGUAGGGCGCAAGCGUUGUCCGGAAUUAUUGGGCGUAAAGAGCUCGUAGGCGGUCUGUCACGUCUGGUGUGAAAACCCGAGGCUCAACCUCGGGCUGGCAUCGGGUACGGGCAGGCUGGAGUGCGGUAGGGGAGACCGGAAUUCCUGGUGUAGCGGUGGAAUGCGCAGAUAUCAGGAGGAACACCGAUGGCGAAGGCAGGUCUCUGGGCCGUUACUGACGCUGAGGAGCGAAAUGAAUUUAUUUUAC
This 426-nucleotide ribosomal RNA is filed under the name Myceligenerans crystallogenes. Its description in RNAcentral is "bacterial SSU rRNA". It matches the Rfam family "Bacterial small subunit ribosomal RNA", at positions 336 to 773 of the family's 1533-position model. Lineage: Bacteria; Bacillati; Actinomycetota; Actinomycetes; Micrococcales; Promicromonosporaceae. The record is from RNAcentral.